GGAGACUCAUGUUGUUUCUUCCCAUAGCAAAAGAAGGCCAUCUGUGAGGAGGAAGGAAGUGCGACCAGUCGUCAACCAACACCAGGUGGCUCAUAUAGCACCUGCUUUCAGAGAAGCUCAACAACCACAAGAAUUAUAUCGUCAGCAACAACAGGCUUACCAGCCUCGUAACAACAAUAACAACAACAGCACCAGCAACUAUGAGAGGAAGAGUGUUACUUUUGACCCGAUUCCUAUGACUUACGCUGAAUUGUAUCCUUC
RNAcentral lists this long non-coding RNA (261 nucleotides) under Lathyrus oleraceus (garden pea). Its description in RNAcentral is "Pisum sativum (pea) long non-coding RNA (PSAT_LNC006242)". Lineage: Eukaryota; Viridiplantae; Streptophyta; Magnoliopsida; Fabales; Fabaceae. The record is from RNAcentral.